RNAcentral lists this small RNA (858 nucleotides) under Pan troglodytes (chimpanzee). RNAcentral's name for it is "retained intron". Lineage: Eukaryota; Metazoa; Chordata; Mammalia; Primates; Hominidae. The record is from RNAcentral.
AUAAUAAAAGAAGGAAAAAAGUCACCCUGCUUGUACCAUUUUAAUACAUCUGGUGCUAUCUCACUACAUUUUCUUCUGUGUUUGAAUAUGAGUGUGCAUGUGCACACACACAGGUGAUUUUUAUAGAGAUUUUUGGAAACACAGCCGUAGGGUGAGUAGGUAAGUAACAAGCCUUGAUUUUGUUUGCUCUUUUGCUCACCAUUAUACGAAAAGCAUUAUUCUGGUAGUUUUUAAGCUAGUUAAUGAAUGGCUCUUUGAAGGCCUCUGGGUCUGCCUUGGAGUGUAGUGAGCUCUAAUGAGUUGAGUUUGGAGCCCUGUGUACUGCCCCUAAUGGAGCUCUUGCCUUCCAGCCGUGUGGGCUUGGACUGGGCGUGCUCCAUGGCAGAGAUCCUGCGGUCACUCAACAGUGCCCCACUGUGGCGUGAUGUCAUUGCCACCUUCACAGACCACUGCAUCAAGCAGCUGCCAUUCCAGCUGAAGCACACCAACAUCUUCACCCUGCUCGUGCUGGUUGGCUUCCCCCAGGUCCUCUGUGUGGGAACCCGCUGCGUUUAUAUGGAUAAUGCCAAUGAACCCCAUAAUGUGAUCAUCUUGAAGCACUUUACUGAGAAGAACAGGGCUGUGAUUGUUGAUGUCAAAACUCGGAAGAGGAAAACAGUGAAGGACUACCAGCUGGUCCAGAAGGGAGGAGGACAAGAGUGUGGUGACUCUCGGGCCCAGCUGAGCCAGUACUCCCGGCACUUUGCCUUUAUCGCCAGUCACCUUCUGCAAAGCAGCAUGGACAGCCAUUGUCCCGAGGCAGUGGAAGCAACUUGGGUCCUGUCCCUGGCCCUCAAAGGAUUGUAUAAAACACUAAAG